CGGGAUAACACCUGGAAACAGAUGCUAAUACCGGAUAACAACAGAUGAUGCCUAUCAACUGUUUAAAAGAUGGUUCUGCUAUCACUCUUGGAUGGACCUGCGGUGCAUUAGCUAGUUGGUAGGGUAACGGCCUACCAAGGCGAUGAUGCAUAGCCGAGUUGAGAGACUGAUCGGCCACAUUGGGACUGAGACACGGCCCAAACUCCUACGGGAGGCAGCAGGC
This 223-nucleotide ribosomal RNA is filed under the name uncultured Lactobacillus sp. RNAcentral's name for it is "partial 16S ribosomal RNA". It matches the Rfam family "Bacterial small subunit ribosomal RNA", at positions 139 to 354 of the family's 1533-position model. Lineage: Bacteria; Bacillati; Bacillota; Bacilli; Lactobacillales; Lactobacillaceae. The record is from RNAcentral.